Molecule: ribosomal RNA, 465 nt
Filed under: Vreelandella stevensii
Lineage: Bacteria; Pseudomonadati; Pseudomonadota; Gammaproteobacteria; Oceanospirillales; Halomonadaceae
Description: partial 16S ribosomal RNA
Rfam family: Bacterial small subunit ribosomal RNA
Source: RNAcentral
CCUACGGGGGGCUGCAGUGGGGAAUAUUGGACAAUGGGGGCAACCCUGAUCCAGCCAUGCCGCGUGUGUGAAGAAGGCCCUCGGGUUGUAAAGCACUUUCAGUGAGGAAGAACGCCUGGUGGUUAAUACCCAGCAGGAAAGACAUCACUCACAGAAGAAGCACCGGCUAACUCCGUGCCAGCAGCCGCGGUAAUACGGAGGGUGCGAGCGUUAAUCGGAAUUACUGGGCGUAAAGCGCGCGUAGGUGGCUUGAUAAGCCGGUUGUGAAAGCCCCGGGCUCAACCUGGGAACGGCAUCCGGAACUGUCAAGCUAGAGUGCAGGAGAGGAAGGUAGAAUUCCCGGUGUAGCGGUGAAAUGCGUAGAGAUCGGGAGGAAUACCAGUGGCGAAGGCGGCCUUCUGGACUGACACUGACACUGAGGUGCGAAAGCGUGGGUAGCAAACAGGAUUAGAUACCCGUGUAGUC